Molecule: ribosomal RNA, 467 nt
Filed under: uncultured bacterium
Lineage: Bacteria
Description: partial 16S ribosomal RNA
Rfam family: Bacterial small subunit ribosomal RNA
Source: RNAcentral
GACGAACGCUGGCGGCGUGCUUAACACAUGCCAGUCGAACGGAAAGGCCUCUUUCGGGGGGUACUCGAGUGGCGAACGGGUGAGUAACACGUGAGUAACCUGCCCUUGACUUUGGGAUAACUUCAGGAAACUGGGGCUAAUACCGGAUAGGAGCUCCUGCUGCAUGGUGGGGGUUGGAAAGUUUCGGCGGUUGGGGAUGGACUCGCGGCUUAUCAGCUUGUUGGUGGGGUAGUGGCUUACCAAGGCUUUGACGGGUAGCCGGCCUGAGAGGGUGACCGGCCACAUUGGGACUGAGAGACGGCCCAGACUCCUACGGGAGGCAGCAGUGGGGAAGAUUGCACAAUGGGUGGAAGCCUGAUGCAGCAACGCCGUGUGCGGGAUGACGGCCUUCGGGUUGUAAACCGCUUUCGCUCAUGACGAAGCUUUGUGUGACGUUAGUGGGUAAAGAAGCACCGGCUAACUACGUG